This 1929-nucleotide long non-coding RNA is filed under the name Canis lupus familiaris (dog). RNAcentral describes it as "lncRNA (ENSCAFG00000041041.2)". The record is from RNAcentral. Lineage: Eukaryota; Metazoa; Chordata; Mammalia; Carnivora; Canidae.
GGCCAGCGAGCUCCAAGGUGACGCGGCCACUGAGCGGCUUGGCCGUCCCUUCAGAUCCCACGGUCGGGUCUCCCCUGAGUAAAGGGCUGGGCAGCUUCACUGAGGGCCGUGGGGUAGGGGUGCGGGCAAAAUGGUUGAAGAAAUGGGACAUUUAUCCUGGCAGCUGGCAGACGCUGGGGACAGGUGCACUGGCUUUUCAUUGCAGAAGAGGUGUCCGGGGAGUGAGUUAGCUUCUGUGCACCCCCGGUUCCGCCCCUGAGCCUCGGUCCCCGUGCGUCCUCCACGGCUGUGGCCCUGACCCCAUAGGCCCCGGGGCCCACGGCAGCCUGCCCACUAUCCCUAUUCCCGCCGUGUUUGUCUGCCUGGUGAAUCCCGGGUCGCCGUCCUGAGUUUCUGGAACAGCGGCCUGUUGGGGUGCGGUGCGCCUCUGGCCCCCCGGGUGCGGAAGAAGGGGUGCACCCCCAGGGCCAUGCACAGCGGCGUCCAGGCCCUCCCCCGUCCCUGCCCGAGGCGUCACCCUGGAAGGCUCUUGCAGGACCAAGAGGACCAAGCCCAGGAGCAGGCGCUGCAGCCUGGGCCUCGCUCGCUGCCCCGGGCUCCGCGCACACGGCCCAAGCCUCGGCGUCCGCGCACCGUGCCUGGCACCCCACGAACGCCCCGGCCUCACGCAACUGGCUUCAGGGAGGCUCCCAGGGCUGCAGGCCCGGCAGGUGUGCCGCUCCUGGGCCCGCCUGGACGCCCAGCGCCGAGCUGCCAGCUGAGCCGCCCCGCCGAGCGCCCGCGCAGAAGCCCUCCCCUGCGCCUGCCUCCUGGCGCCCUGCAGCGCCGCGCUGGCAGCUCCUGUGGAUCCCAGCCCCCCCCCCCAUUACGUCCUGUUGCCCCCCCAGCCGAGACUCCUGUGGGAGCCCCCGAGCCCCCCGCAGUUCCCCGGGAGGCCGGCAGCACCAAGCGCAGGCCCCUGCAGGGUGUCGGGCUCUCCCAGGCAGGCGCCGGCCGCGCAACCUGGGCUGUGGAAGGGGCCCCGCGCACCCACUGCCCCGGGGCCUGGGGAACCAGGGGCACAGCUGCUGUCCUCUCGUUCCUCCGGGCCCCACAGGCCAGCGGGUCACCCGUGCGGCGCCCCCACCCCUGCGCACACCUGUCCUUGUGCCUGCUGCGGACCCCUGGCCGGACGAGGCUCCUGAUCCAGUUUCUCUUUUCAAGAUCCGCAGGUGAUUCAAACACGAAAGCUGGAGAUUCGCUGAUGUGUAAGGAUGCCACGGAGCCCCACUCACACAGGCCAUGGCGUGACCGGCACUCCCAGGACCGUGACCACCGGCCCUGCUCAGGCGACUCCUCUUUGGUGUCCUCUCCUGGCCUCCAAAUGGUGACAAGGAUGUCUGGUGCCCGAGUGGGCCUGGCUCAGGCUGGCACGGCCGCGUCUCCUGGCACGUGAGGCGCACUGACGGCUUUUAGGAGAAACAGGAUCCUUAUGUUUGGGAGCUAAAAAGGAUUUCGGGGAAUUCUCUGUUCUCGCAGAUGUCCAAUUUUCACCCUAUUUUCUAGACGAUGACGCGGAUGAAGGAGAGGUGGAAUAGUGGAAUGGAGGGUAGACGAGGGUGCCGGGACUGGAGCCGGGGCCUGUGCGCCCGCUGCCCCCAGCUACACCCCGCCUCCCAGCAUCGAUGCCCAGGCCACUACCCUGUCUUCAGCACCUCCUGGAGAUACACUAGAGGGAACUUAGAUAAAAUCUGCAUCUUCUGGGGAUCACUGGGUGGCUCAGUGGUUUGACGCCUGCCUUUGGCCCAGGGCGUGACCCUGGAGUCCCAGGAUCGAGUCCCACGUCGGGCUCCCGGUGCAUGGAGCCUGCUUCUCCCUCUGCCUGUGUCUCUGCCUCUCUCUCUCUCUCUCUCUAUGUCUAUCAUAAAUAAAUAAAUAAAUCUUUUUUUU